RNAcentral lists this transfer RNA (73 nucleotides) under Teladorsagia circumcincta. RNAcentral's name for it is "tRNA-Arg". The record is from RNAcentral. Lineage: Eukaryota; Metazoa; Nematoda; Chromadorea; Rhabditida; Trichostrongylidae.
CGACCACGGCAGGAUUCGAACCUGCAAUCUUCUGCUCCGUAGGCAGACGCGUGAUCCAUUGCGCCACGCGGCC